This 449-nucleotide ribosomal RNA is filed under the name uncultured bacterium. RNAcentral's name for it is "bacterial SSU rRNA". It matches the Rfam family "Bacterial small subunit ribosomal RNA", at positions 29 to 524 of the family's 1533-position model. The record is from RNAcentral.
AACGAACGCUGGCGGCAUGCCUAACACAUGCAAGUCGAACGAGACCUUCGGGUCUAGUGGCGCACGGGUGCGUAACGCGUGGGAAUCUGCCCCUUGGUUCGGAAUAACAGUUAGAAAUGACUGCUAAUACCGGAUGAUGACGAAAGUCCAAAGAUUUAUCGCCGAGGGAUGAGCCCGCGUAGGAUUAGCUAGUUGGUGAGGUAAAGGCUCACCAAGGCGACGAUCCUUAGCUGGUCUGAGAGGAUGAUCAGCCACACUGGGACUGAGACACGGCCCAGACUCCUACGGGAGGCAGCAGUGGGGAAUAUUGGACAAUGGGCGAAAGCCUGAUCCAGCAAUGCCGCGUGAGUGAUGAAGGCCUUAGGUCGUAAGCUCUUUUACCAGGGAUGAUAAUGACAGUACCUGGAGAAUAAGACUCCGGCUAACUCCGUGCCAGCAGCCGCGGUAAU